GAAAUGAUGUCCAUCUCUAUUCAGGAUAAGGACGGAAAGACUCCAAGUCAGUUGGUUGAACACGAGGAUACAGAGCUCUUCUCCUACCUGGAGUCCCAACGACAGUUUCAGGAGGUGGCCCUUGAAGAUUUGGAAACAAACCUUUAGUGCUCUAUUUUAAACAUAUUGUUAUCUUUUCAGAGAUCUGAUUCGUUUAUUAAACCUUUUUCUUUUUCAUUAAUAGCUAUUAUAUAAAGACUUAAAAAUAAACACGACUUGAAAAUUGUU
This is a long non-coding RNA of Eurytemora carolleeae, 267 nucleotides long. RefSeq lists it as uncharacterized. NCBI's taxonomy places the organism in Eukaryota, Metazoa, Arthropoda, Copepoda, Calanoida, Temoridae. The record is from RefSeq and is a predicted model, not a curated record. The transcript is spliced from 2 exons.